AACCUAGCACACCUGCGGUGUGUACCUGCGGAGGGAUCACUAACGAGUUACCACUCUAUAACCCUUUGUGAACAUACCUACAUGUUGCUUCGGCGGUCGGCCCCCCCGGGCCCCCGGCCCCGCUCACGCGGGGCGUCCGCCGGAGGAUAACCAAACUCUGAUUUAACGACGUUUCUUCUGAGUGGCACAAGCAAAUAAUCAAAACUUUUAACAAUGGAUCU
This 221-nucleotide unclassified non-coding RNA is filed under the name soil metagenome. Its description in RNAcentral is "partial contains 5.8S ribosomal RNA, internal transcribed spacer 2, and large subunit ribosomal RNA". The record is from RNAcentral.